RNAcentral lists this ribosomal RNA (429 nucleotides) under uncultured bacterium. RNAcentral describes it as "bacterial SSU rRNA". It matches the Rfam family "Bacterial small subunit ribosomal RNA", at positions 355 to 776 of the family's 1533-position model. The record is from RNAcentral.
UGGGGAAUCUUGCGCAAUGGGCGAAAGCCUGACGCAGCAACGCCGCGUGUGUGAUGAAGGCCUUCGGGUUGUAAAGCACUGUCAGGAGGGAAGAAAACUCAGUGGCUAAUACCCAUUGAGGAUGACGGUACCUCCGAAGGAAGCACCGGCUAACUCCGUGCCAGCAGCCGCGGCAAUACGGAGGGUGCGAGCGUUGUUCGGAAUCAUUGGGCGUAAAGCGCGUGUAGGCGGGCUGGCAAGUCAGGUGUGAAAUCCCGAGGCUCAACCUCGGAAUUGCGCCUGAAACUGCUGGUCUUGAGUACGGGAGGGGGCAGCGGAAUUCUUGGUGUAGGGGUGAAAUCCGUAGAUAUCAGGAGGAACACCGAUGGCGAAGGCAGCUGCCUGGACCAGUACUGACGCUGAGACGCGAAAGCGUGGGGAGCAAACAGG